Sebastes umbrosus (honeycomb rockfish) is the source of this 764-nucleotide long non-coding RNA. RefSeq lists it as uncharacterized. The record is from RefSeq and is a predicted model, not a curated record. Lineage: Eukaryota; Metazoa; Chordata; Actinopteri; Perciformes; Sebastidae. The transcript is spliced from 5 exons.
AGACAAGAUUUAGCCCGGCCAAGACCCGAGUCAGUCAUGGUGGGAUUCUCUCUUUCUUCACCUGAGACAUUAUUUAUUUCACAGAUGAGCAGACAGGACAACAAACUCUUCUUUACCCUGCCUGACUGAAGGAGACAAACAACCUCAGCCCAUGAAAACAGAAAGAAGUCUUUAGGAUCUGUCAAGACCAUCCACCUCCUGCUGUACGCAGGGAACACAGCAACCUCUUCUGGACAAACGUGAAAGUAGCAGAGGGUGUAAUGAAGCCAACAUAACAGAAACUGGAAAAGUCCUGGACCCCGAGAAUGGACAAAGCCAGAAAAAGGACACAAAACAUUGGACUGCUGUAGUUUGACUUCAGAUGACUGCAGAGUUCUGCACCAAAACUGAGAACCGCGGAGUUUCUUCACAUCGUCCAACGUCUCCUACUGAACUUGGAGGUCUUAACCUUGUCGCUGGCUAAAACUAAACAAUGAAAAUGAAUCCAAAAGUGAAUUGAAUCCAAUUUAUGUAUUUAUCCAGCAGGCUCUACAAAGCUCAACUUCUACUUUAACCUUUAAUGUGUAUUUUGAGGCUCUUUGUGACUUGUAGUUGACCCCUAUAUUUAUUUAUUUAACUUUCUAAAGCAAAAAUGUCUGAGGGCUUAACUUUGAGAGUUUUAUGUUCAUCCAAGUAUAGAAAAUGUCCCAACAGUCAACUUAUGUAAAAGUCUAUAAACAUUUUCAACUGAAUUCUGACUAAAUAAAAACUGAAAUAUUGUCUUU